This is a long non-coding RNA of Bos taurus (domestic cattle), 879 nucleotides long. Lineage: Eukaryota; Metazoa; Chordata; Mammalia; Artiodactyla; Bovidae. The record is from Ensembl.
CGGUGCCUCCGGCGUCCUAGAGCGGCCGCGGGCAGCCGGCGCUGGGCCGGGGUCCUGGGGCUAGUCUCGCGGGUCCUGAGCUCCGCCGCCUGCUUCCGGUCCUGGAAGAUGCCGGCGGUCUUUCGCUCGGGGACGCUGGCCCCGAGUCCUCUCGUCAGGUGGCGACGCCCAGGCGGGGCGGCUCCCUCUGAGGAGUCGGGUUCCGCCUGUUAGGCCCCCGCGGCCUCCGCCUCGAGCCUCCUCCAGCCGCGGAGACGAGCUUGUCUGCGGCGGGCCGGCGGGCGGAGGGCGCGCCUGUGGGCGCCGCGUGGGUAACGAGGCCCCGCGCCCAGGAGGGCCGGCUCCCGGGCCGGGCGCGCUCCGUCUCGUGUCGCCUGACUUCGGGCGGCCUGGUGAGCCUUCCCGAGUUUUCUGAACGUAAACGUGAAGUCGCUCAGUCGUGUCCGACUCUUUGCGACCCCAUGGACUGUAGCCUAUCAGGCUCCUCUGUCCAUGGGAUUUUCCAGGCAAGAGUACUGGAGUGGGUUGCCAUUGCCUUCCCCAAGGGAUCUUCCCAACCCAGGGAUCGAACUCGGGUCUCCCGCAUCGUAGACAAACGCUUUACUGUCUGAGCCGCCAGGGAAGUUUUCUAGACCCCUCAAUACCGGCUUCCAUACGUAGCGGGCUUUGUGAGAAAGAACUGAAAAAAUAGUAAAUGCUUGGAGAUUGCGUGCUGUGCGGCAAUCAACACUGCAAGGCGCCUGCAAUGCUGCGAGAUGGUGAUUGCAGCCAUGAAAUUAAAAGAUGAUUACUCCUUGGAAGGAAAGUUAUGACCAACCUAGAUAGCAUAUUGAAAAGCAGAGACGUUACUUUGCCAACAAAGAUCCAUCUAAUCAAGGC